GCAAGUCGAACGGUAGCACAGAGGAGCUUGCUCCUUGGGUGACGAGUGGCGGACGGGUGAGUAAUGUCUGGGAAACUGCCCGAUGGAGGGGGAUAACUACUGGAAACGGUAGCUAAUACCGCAUAACGUCGCAAGACCAAAGAGGGGGACCUUCGGGCCUCUUGCCAUCGGAUGUGCCCAGAUGGGAUUAGCUAGUAGGUGGGGUAACGGCUCACCUAGGCGACGAUCCCUAGCUGGUCUGAGAGGAUGACCAGCCACACUGGAACUGAGACACGGUCCAGACUCCUACGGGAGGCAGCAGUGGGGAAUAUUGCACAAUGGGCGCAAGCCUGAUGCAGCCAUGCCGCGUGUAUGAAGAAGGCCUUCGGGUUGUAAAGUACUUUCAGCGAGGAGGAAGGCGUUGUGGUUAAUAACCGCAGUGAUUGACGUUACUCGCAGAAGAAGCACCGGCUAACUCCGUGCCAGCAGCCGCGGUAAUACGGAGGGUGCAAGCGUUAAUCGGAAUUACUGGGCGUAAAGCGCACGCAGGCGGUCUGUCA
Molecule: ribosomal RNA, 539 nt
Filed under: Citrobacter braakii
Lineage: Bacteria; Pseudomonadati; Pseudomonadota; Gammaproteobacteria; Enterobacterales; Enterobacteriaceae
Description: bacterial SSU rRNA
Rfam family: Bacterial small subunit ribosomal RNA
Source: RNAcentral